RNAcentral lists this non-coding RNA (30 nucleotides) under Mus musculus (house mouse). Lineage: Eukaryota; Metazoa; Chordata; Mammalia; Rodentia; Muridae. The record is from RNAcentral.
UGUGGAAAAGCCUUCUAUUAGUGUUCAACC